AGCAGCCGCGGUAAUUCCAGCUCCAAUAGCGUAUAUUAAAGUUGUUGCAGUUAAAAAGCUCGUAGUUGAAUUUCGGGAUCAAUUAAUCGGUCGUGCCUCUGGUACGCACUGGUUUUAUUGGUUUCUCCCUUCUGACGAACCAGGAUGUCAUUAAUUUGGUGUCUUGGAGAAUCAGGACUGUUACUUUAGAAAAAUUAGAGUAGUUUAAAGCAGGCUAACGCUUGAAUACAUUAGACAUGGAAUA
This 244-nucleotide unclassified non-coding RNA is filed under the name uncultured Glomus. RNAcentral's name for it is "sequence contains 18S rRNA gene". It matches the Rfam family "Eukaryotic small subunit ribosomal RNA", at positions 569 to 816 of the family's 1831-position model. Lineage: Eukaryota; Fungi; Glomeromycota; Glomeromycetes; Glomerales; Glomeraceae. The record is from RNAcentral.